RNAcentral lists this ribosomal RNA (401 nucleotides) under uncultured bacterium. Its description in RNAcentral is "bacterial SSU rRNA". It matches the Rfam family "Bacterial small subunit ribosomal RNA", at positions 356 to 774 of the family's 1533-position model. The record is from RNAcentral.
GGGGAAUCUUGCACAAUGGGGGCAACCCUGAUGCAGCGACGCCGCGUGAGCGAUGAAGCCCCUCGGGGCGUAAAGCUCUUUCGACCGGAACGAUAAUGACGGUACCGGGAGAAGAAGCUGCGGCUAACUACGUGCCAGCAGCCGCGGUAAUACGUAGGCAGCAAGCGUUGUUCGGAGUUACUGGGCGUAAAGAGUGCGUAGGCGGUUUUCUAAGUUCGGUGUGAAAUCUCCCGGCUUAACGGGGAGGGUGCGCCGAAGACUGGGAAGCUGGUAUGUGGGAAAGGCAGGCGGAAUUCCUGGUGUAUCGGUGAAAUGCGUAGAUAUCAGGAGGAACACCGGCGGUGUAGACGGCUUGCUAGACCAUAACUGACGCUGAGGCACGAAAGCGUGGGUAGCAAACA